GGAUUUUCGAUUUGAAAACUUGUAAUUCGUCUGUGCUGGAUCUUGGCUAGUGACUUCUCGCUUGAUAAAUAAACUCAGGCUGGAGGACCGGGUGUUAUUCUGAAGCUAAUGCACGAGUAGCGUGGCAACUUUCUUUACGACCUACUUGUGUGCUUCUGGAUGGCUCAAGGAACACAGAGACGAAAAAGAAGAAACGGACCAUCUACUGGGGGCACCUACUAAGGUCGAAAGUACAUUAGCUUGAAGGGACAAAACACUCACUAUGCCAUUUUUCAGGCUGAGCGAGGAAAAAACCUUUCCACCUGCCCCUGCCUCUCUAAUGCCACUGAAAUGCUUCUGGUGUCGCUUCCCAAGUUGUCCCCACAGGAGAAGCUCCUUACCUCUUUAGGGGACUGGAGAGAUGGCUCAACGGUUAAGAACACUGACUGUUCUUCCAGAGGUCCUGAGUUC
Molecule: non-coding RNA, 450 nt
Organism: Cricetulus griseus (Chinese hamster)
Lineage: Eukaryota; Metazoa; Chordata; Mammalia; Rodentia; Cricetidae
Source: RefSeq, a predicted model, not a curated record